GAUGAACGCUAGCGGCAGGCCUAACACAUGCAAGUCGAACGGUAACAGUCUCUUCGGAGAGCUGACGAGUGGCGCACGGGUGCGUAACGCGUAUAGAACCUACCCUUUACUAGGGGAUAGCCCAUGGAAACGUGGAUUAAUACCCUAUGGUAUAUAAAACUAGCAUUGGUUUUACAUUAAAGAUUUAUCGGUAAAAGGAUGGCUCUGCGUCCCAUUAGCUAGAUGGUAAGGUAACGGCUUACCAUGGCAACGAUGGGUAGGGGUCCUGAGAGGGAGAUCCCCCACACUGGUGCUGAGACACGGACCAGACUCCUACGGGAGGCAGCAGUGAGGAAUAUUGGACAAUGGUCGGAGGACUGAUCCAGCCAUGCCGCGUGCAGG
RNAcentral lists this ribosomal RNA (381 nucleotides) under uncultured Bacteroidota bacterium. Its description in RNAcentral is "bacterial SSU rRNA". It matches the Rfam family "Bacterial small subunit ribosomal RNA", at positions 28 to 407 of the family's 1533-position model. The record is from RNAcentral. Lineage: Bacteria; Pseudomonadati; Bacteroidota.